GAUGAACGCUGGCGGCGUGCCUAAUACAUGCAAGUCGAGCGAAUGGAUUAAGAGCUUGCUCUUAUGAAGUUAGCGGCGGACGGGUGAGUAACACGUGGGUAACCUGCCCAUAAGACUGGGAUAACUCCGGGAAACCGGGGCUAAUACCGGAUAACAUUUUGAACCGCAUGGUUCGAAAUCGAAAGGCGGCUUCGGCUGUCACUUAUGGAUGGACCCGCGUCGCAUUAGCUAGUUGGUGAGGUAACGGCUCACCAAGGCAACGAUGCGUAGCCGACCUGAGAGGGUGAUCGGCCACACUGGGACUGAGACACGGCCCAGACUCCUACGGGAGGCAGCAGUAGGGAAUCUUCCGCAAUGGACGAAAGUCUGACGGAGCAACGCCGCCUGAGUGAUGAAGGCUUUCGGGUCGUAAAACUCUGUUGUUAGGGAAGAACAAGUGCUAGUUGAAUAAGCUGGCACCUUGACGGUACCUAGCCAGAAAGCCACGGCUAACUACGUGCCAGCAGCCGCGGUAA
RNAcentral lists this ribosomal RNA (515 nucleotides) under uncultured bacterium. RNAcentral describes it as "partial 16S ribosomal RNA". It matches the Rfam family "Bacterial small subunit ribosomal RNA", at positions 28 to 523 of the family's 1533-position model. The record is from RNAcentral.